RNAcentral lists this ribosomal RNA (435 nucleotides) under uncultured bacterium. Its description in RNAcentral is "partial 16S ribosomal RNA". It matches the Rfam family "Bacterial small subunit ribosomal RNA", at positions 29 to 507 of the family's 1533-position model. The record is from RNAcentral.
AACGAACGCUGGCGGCAUGCCUAACACAUGCAAGUCGAACGAGAUCACUCGGGGUCUAGUGGCGCACGGGUGCGUAAUGCGUGGGAAUUUGCCUAGGGGUAUGGAAUAACUCUGAGAAAUUUGAGCUAAUACCAUAUGAAGUCUUCGGACCAAAGAUUGAAUGCCCUGGGAGGAGGCCGCGUAGGAUUAGUUAGUGGGUGGGGUAAGGGGCUCUCAAAGCGGCGAUCCUUAGCUGGUCUGAGAGGCUGAGCAGACACACUGGGACUGGGACGCGGGCCAGACUCCUACGCGAGGCACGAGUGGGGAAUACAGGACAACGGGCGCAAGCCUGAACCAGCUAGGCCGGUUGAGUGAUGAAGGCCUUAGAGAAAUAAAGCUCGUUUACCCGGGAUGAUAAUGACAGUACCGGGAGAAUAAGCCCCGGCUAACUCCGUG